CCUACGGGAGGCUGCAGUGAGGAAUAUUGGUCAAUGGGCGGAAGCCUGAACCAGCCAAGUAGCGUGCGGGAUGAAGGCCCUACGGGUCGUAAACCGCUUUUGCACGGGGGUAACACCCUCCACUUGUGGAGGUCUGCAGGUACCGUGCGAAUAAGGGCCGGCUAAUUCCGUGCAAGCAGCCGCGGUAAUACGGAAGGCCCGAGCGUUAUCCGGAUUCAUUGGGCUUAAAGGGAGCGUAGGCGGGCGUUCAAGUCAGCUGUAAAAUCGCGCGGCUCACACGCGCCCCGCAGUUGAAACUGGGCGCCUUGAGUUCACAACAGGCAGGCGGAAUUCGUGGUGUAGCGGUGAAAUGCAUAGAUAUCACGAGGAACCCCGAUUGCGAAGGCAGCCGGCCGGGGUGCGACUGACGCUGAGGCUCGAAGGUGCGGGUAUCAAACAGGAUUAGAUACCCGAGUAGUC
Molecule: ribosomal RNA, 459 nt
Filed under: uncultured bacterium
Lineage: Bacteria
Description: partial 16S ribosomal RNA
Rfam family: Bacterial small subunit ribosomal RNA
Source: RNAcentral